UCCUACGGGAGGCAGCAGUGGGGAAUCUUGCACAAUGGGCGAAAGCCUGAUGCAGCUAUGCCGCGUGUAUGAAGAAGGCCUUAGGGUUGUAAAAUACUUUCAGCAAGGAAGAAGAAUAAAAAUCUAAUACAUUUUUAUUUUGACGUUACUUGAAGAAGAAGCACCGGCUAACUCCGUGCCAGCAGCCGCGGUAAU
Molecule: ribosomal RNA, 195 nt
Filed under: uncultured candidatus Ishikawaella sp.
Lineage: Bacteria; Pseudomonadati; Pseudomonadota; Gammaproteobacteria; Enterobacterales; Enterobacteriaceae
Description: partial 16S ribosomal RNA
Rfam family: Bacterial small subunit ribosomal RNA
Source: RNAcentral